Molecule: ribosomal RNA, 438 nt
Filed under: Triticum aestivum (bread wheat)
Lineage: Eukaryota; Viridiplantae; Streptophyta; Magnoliopsida; Poales; Poaceae
Description: partial small subunit ribosomal RNA
Source: RNAcentral
AUGGAGGACGGGAGGAUCCAGACCACGCCGAAUCUGCCGCAGGAGAUCUUGAUGGCCAUCUUCGCCGCAUUUGAAAUCCCCGACCUCCUGCGUGCUGGCUCCGUAUGCUCCUCCUGGCGCUUCGCCUACGAAACCCUGCGCAACCACGGGCUGUACAACCAGUCCCAGACGCCAUGUCUGCUCUACACCUCCGAGUCCGACGGCGAGAGCACCGCGCGCCUCUACAGCCUCGCGGAGAAGAAGGCGUACAGGCUGACCCUCCCGGACCCGCCCAUCCGCACCAGGUCUCUGAUCGGGUCCUCCCCUCAGGGCUUGCUGGUUACGGUCGACGACAGAUCCGAGAUGCACCUUCUCAACCCCAUCACCGGUCAACAGAUCGCCCUCCCGUCGGUGAUCACCAUCCGGCAGCAGCAGCAGGAGGACACAUUGUGGUGCUGA